UCUCCGUUGGUGAACCAGCGGAGGGAUCAUUAUCGAGUUUAUAACUCCCAAACCCUAUGUGAACUUACCACUUGUUGCUUCGGCGCGCGCUUCGGUGCCGCCGGGGACACUUAAACUCUUUGUUUUUAUAAGCAUUUCUGAGUGGCCGAAAGGCAAAAUACAAAUGAAUCAAAACUUUCAACAACGGAUCUCUUGGUUCUG
RNAcentral lists this unclassified non-coding RNA (201 nucleotides) under plant metagenome. RNAcentral's name for it is "partial contains small subunit ribosomal RNA, internal transcribed spacer 1, and 5.8S ribosomal RNA". The record is from RNAcentral.